UACGGGGGGGGCAAGCGUUGUUCGGAAUUACUGGGCGUAAAGGGCUCGUAGGCGGCCAACUAAGUCCGACGUGAAAUCCCCAGGCUUAACCUGGGAACUGCGUCGGAUACUGGAUGGCUUGAAUCCGGGAGAGGGAUGCGGAAUUCCAGGUGUAGCGGUGAAAUGCGCAGAUAUCAGGAAGAACACCCGUGGCGAAGGCGGCUCUCUGGAACGCAACUGACGCUGAGACGCGAAAGCGUGGGGAGCAAACAGG
This 253-nucleotide ribosomal RNA is filed under the name uncultured bacterium. Its description in RNAcentral is "partial 16S ribosomal RNA". It matches the Rfam family "Bacterial small subunit ribosomal RNA", at positions 524 to 776 of the family's 1533-position model. The record is from RNAcentral.